CCUACGGGAGGCAGCAGUAAGGAAUAUUGGACAAUGCCCGCAAGGGUGAUCCAGCCAUGCCGCGUGCAGGAAGACGGCCCUAUGGGUUGUAAACUGCUUUUACACCGGAGAAAACCUUCCCUCGUGAGGGGAGCUGAUAGUAUGGUGAGAAUAAGCAUCGGCUAACUUCGUGCCAGCAGCCGCGGUAAGACGAAGGAUGCAAGCGUUAUCCGGAUUCAUUGGGUUUAAAGGGAGCGUAGGUGGUCUUAUAAGUCAGUGGUGAAAUCUUCGAGCUUAACUCGGAAAUUGCCAUUGAUACUGUAGGACUUGAGUACAGUUGCUGUGGGCGGAAUAUGACAUGUAGUGGUGAAAUACAUAGAGAUGUCAUAGAACACCGAUUGCGAAGGCAGCUCACAAAACUGUAACUGACACUGAGGCUCGAAAGUGCGGGGAUCAAACAGGAUUAGAUACCCGUGUAGUC
Molecule: ribosomal RNA, 460 nt
Filed under: Weissella confusa
Lineage: Bacteria; Bacillati; Bacillota; Bacilli; Lactobacillales; Lactobacillaceae
Description: bacterial SSU rRNA
Rfam family: Bacterial small subunit ribosomal RNA
Source: RNAcentral